GGUUAUAGCUUAGUUUGUAGAGUGCUUGCCUAGCAUGCACGAGGCCCUGGGUUCAAUCCCCAGCACCA
RNAcentral lists this transfer RNA (68 nucleotides) under Marmota monax (woodchuck). RNAcentral's name for it is "tRNA.Ala". It matches the Rfam family "tRNA". From Rfam's summary of the family: Transfer RNA (tRNA) molecules are approximately 80 nucleotides in length. Their secondary structure includes four short double-helical elements and three loops (D, anti-codon, and T loops). Further hydrogen bonds mediate the characteristic L-shaped molecular structure. tRNAs have two regions of fundamental functional importance: the anti-codon, which is responsible for specific mRNA codon recognition, and the 3' end, to which the tRNAs corresponding amino acid is attached (by aminoacyl-tRNA synthetases). tRNAs cope with the degeneracy of the genetic code in two manners: having more than one tRNA (with a specific anti-codon) for a particular amino acid; and 'wobble' base-pairing, i.e. permitting non-standard base-pairing at the 3rd anti-codon position. The record is from RNAcentral. Lineage: Eukaryota; Metazoa; Chordata; Mammalia; Rodentia; Sciuridae.